CAAUAUCUGCCGCCGGGCAGCACCUGUUCCCAUUCCGUUAGGCCUUAGAAGGAGUGGGUGGCAGGUGUUUAUUUUU
This 76-nucleotide non-coding RNA is filed under the name unclassified sequences. The record is from RNAcentral.